This is a non-coding RNA of Caenorhabditis elegans, 125 nucleotides long. NCBI's taxonomy places the organism in Eukaryota, Metazoa, Nematoda, Chromadorea, Rhabditida, Rhabditidae. The record is from Ensembl.
CUAGCCUAUACCUGACAUUAACCUAGACCGGGUCUUAAAUGAGCCUAGUCAUAUGCCUGUCUCAAACGUUUCGACUAAAAGUUCAUUGAUCAUAUCCGUCUGAAACUUUCAACCAAUUAAUAUUA